AGUGAACGCUGGCGGUAGGCCUAACACAUGCAAGUCGUACGGCAGCACAGUAAGAGCUUGCUCUUACGGGUGGCGAGUGGCGGACGGGUGAGGAAUACAUCGGAAUCUACUUUUUCGUGGGGGAUAACGUAGGGAAACUUACGCUAAUACCGCAUACGACCUACGGGUGAGAGCAGGGGAUCUUCGGACCUUGCGCGAUUGAAUGAGCCGAUGUCGGAUUAGCUAGUUGGCGGGGUAAAGGCCCACCAAGGCGACGAUCCGUAGCUGGUCUGAGAGGAUGAUCAGCCACACUGGAACUGAGACACGGUCCAGACUCCUACGGGAGGCAGCAGUGGGGAAUAUUGGACAAUGGGCGCAAGCCUGAUCCAGCCAUACCGCGUGGGUGAAGAAGGCCUUCGGGUUGUAAAGCCCUUUUGUUGGGAAAGAAAAGCAGCAGGUUAAUACCCCGCUGUUCUGACGGUACCCAAAGAAUAAGCACCGGCUAACUUCGUG
This 492-nucleotide ribosomal RNA is filed under the name uncultured bacterium. RNAcentral describes it as "partial 16S ribosomal RNA". It matches the Rfam family "Bacterial small subunit ribosomal RNA", at positions 29 to 507 of the family's 1533-position model. The record is from RNAcentral.